Molecule: long non-coding RNA, 3860 nt
Organism: Chinchilla lanigera (long-tailed chinchilla)
Lineage: Eukaryota; Metazoa; Chordata; Mammalia; Rodentia; Chinchillidae
Exons: 3
Source: RefSeq, a predicted model, not a curated record
UGAAAACAGCCUGGCAAACCAACGCUUCUUCGCCUGGUAGCCUCCUCCUUUCCCGAAAGCCACAGCCCCAGGUGCUGAGGAGUCGGAGCCUCUUCCCGCCCUCCAUCCUACCUGUGCUCACUCGGGAUCUCCGUGUGCUCCGAGCUGUGUGUCCUGCUCACCUCUGUCUCUGCGGACUCCAGCCGGCUCAGCCUCCCCCUCCACACUGGUGAAGUCUCAGCCUAGUCUCAAUGUCUUCUCCCCAGGAAGCACCCUGGUGAAGCUCCUCACCGCCAGCCAGUACUGGUGCCCUGUGCCACCCUCAUAUCUUGGCAUCUUCUCAUAAUCCACGGCAUCUUUUAAAGAAACUGUUUAGACACCUAUCUGUGCGAAGAAGAUCUGAGCAGAGACUCCCGGAACGCCUGUACACAGCAUUGAUAGGGCGUUGUUCACAGAGCCAAGGGAGGAAGCCCCCUGGGGUUGACCCACAGCUGAGAGGGCAAGGUGAGAGGUCACAGCCUCACAAGGGACACUGUUCACCCUACUUAGAUUGGGAUUCCGGCCCAGGCUACACCAUGGAGGGACCUGGAGGGCAGGGUUAAGUGACAAAAACAAGCCCCAAGGCAUCACAGGGCCAUUGCCCUCAGAGGAGCUCUGAAGAGAUAGCCAGAGCACGGUGGCCCCAGGGGCUGAGGGGAACGAGGAAGGGGAUGAGGCUUAGCGGGUGCAGCUUUCACUCUGCAAGGUGGAGAGGGCUGAAGACGAGCUGGCGACAGCCACACCGCACCGUGCGCGUGGUGAUACCCGCGUGUGUAACCGCGGAGCGCAGGACAGGCAUUCGUGCAUCUUCGGCAUUUCAUGGGGUUAAUGAGCUCCGCUGAGACCUGCUGACUAGACCAAAAGGGCAUAAGCACAAGUGGACAUGACUUCCCUAAGGAACAGUGAAGUUUCCUAUUUUAAUCAGAUAGGAAAUGGGGUACAAGUUCAAAUGGUGGAUUUUCUAGGGUGGGUCUGUCCCCCAGCCUCAGCAGGUUAUGGCUAAAGUCACCAUUAGUGUUGGGAAGGGUGUGGAGCUCCCACUCGAGUUCCGUAAUUAAACUGCUGGGAGGAAGUUGCAUUUCAUCUUACAGUCUUCCCUGGAAACAUCAUUAGGAACAGGAGGUGGCUGAGAAGUAGGUGCAAGGACACACAAGUCACUUAGUGAUGUCCCCACAGUGGACAGUGACCCUGCAGAUGGUGGGGUCAUAGCCACACAUAGCCAUCGGCCCACAAAGUGGCUGAGGCCUCCUUCACAGCCUUCCCUGUCCACACCCACCUCCGCCCAGGCUCUAGGGCAACUGGGGGACCAGGAGGGAGGGAGAGAAGGGGUAUCAGCACAUCUGCUUCCUCAGAUCCCCUCACCCAGAGCCCCUGUUUAGGGUGCUACCAGCUGCCAGAUGCCCCUCUCUCUGCCCUUCUCUCCCCUGGGGAGACCCUGGGGACGACCGAGGGUGUGGGGCGUAGCCAGCAGAGCUUUGUGCCACUCCGAGAGCCUGCGCCUCCUUCAGGCCAGUGAUUAAAAUCCGUUUGUUAUACAAUAACCUCCAUCCACCUCCAGGUCCGCAUUCCUCACCCACUUGACCUUUAUGUUGGCUUCUGUCACUCUUCUCGCCAUCUGGCAUGGUCACACCUAUGUGUCUGCCUCCCCGCUCCAGCCAGAGCGGAGUCUUCCAAGGACGGAGGCUGCCCUGCCCACCGCUUUAUGCCAGCAGCUGAGGCGGUGCCCCAAGCACAGCGGGCACACAGCGAGGAGCAGGAAUACACACGGCACCUUGUGAGCCUUUGGUUCCCCCACCACGGGCUCCAUGAAGACAGGGCGUUUUCCUGACUCAUUUAAUAACUGCUUGCUGAAUACAGGAAAGGGUGGACGCGUUAAUGAUUAAGCAUCUCGAGUGUCAAGCGCAGAGGCUGGGUCCUGUCCCAGCAGGAGGCAGAAGGAGACAGAAUCGAGCCCUGGACCAUCACGCUGUUGUCUGGUGUCAGGACAGAGCUGAAGCUUUCUGGAGGAAGAUGGGCUUUAAAGGGAGGGCCAAGAGGCCUGGAGAGACAUGCUGCAAGGCUGUAACUCCUUCCACCAUCAUGAGAGAAGUCCACAUGAAUCAAGAGCACAUGCAGAACUGCAGGAGCAGCACGUGCUAGAGCCCAGCAGCAGCAGGGCGAGGGAGGAAGUCCAUGAAGCCCCACCUUGCGGGGAAAUAGUGCCGCCUUUUGAACUAGAAACUUUUGAACUGAGGCUCAAAUCCUCAUCCUGCUCCUUAAUACCUGUGUAUUCCUGAAGAGUUACUCAGUCUGGUCUUUGGUUUUAAAAUCUCUACUGCAGGAGAGUACUGCUACCAAGUCAGCUUUCACAAAGACCACUUGGGGGUGUUCUCUGCAGAGGAUCUGGUGCAGGAGCUGCUGUGUCAGGUGCAGUGUGGGUUCAGGGCAGCCUGGACUGGCAAGAAGGGACAAAGUCAUCCCUGCCUUAAGCUUACCAGGAGGACUGUGUACUUUGACCAGCAGGAUGAGGCAUGCGUGCGUCAUGGGUCACUCUGCAGAUCAUUCCAAGCGGGUGGACUGAGGGUCACGGGGGCAUGCACUGGAGCUACAGAGUAGUCACCUACAAUAAUCCCGGAAGGAAAUAAAGGUCAGGUCGAAAGAAGAAGCAAUGGAAAGAGAGAGAAGGGGAUGCACACAGGAUUGUGGAAGGAAGAGCAGAUGGGACCUCAUUACUUAAGGCUCCCACAGAAGGCAAAAGGAUCACAGCAGCCAUGACGUGUCUCUUGAACAGGAUGCUGACACAAACAAGACAUCCUUGCUUCUCCGGAAUGAAGUGUGGUUUCAGUAAUUCACGCAAGGAACACUUACGGAGGCUGCUGUGGACCUCAUCUAGACGCUAAGGAUACAGUGGAACAGGGAGAAGUGGAGCUCUUCUGGAAUGCUCAACGUUUUAUGAGAUAAUGGUUUUAAAAACAUAAAAGAACUUUAAGUUGUCACAGAUAUGUGGAAGUUAACCAGAGCUGUUUUAUUUCCUGGAUUCACAAAGAAAAUCGCACACCUCUUGGAAGGGACUUCCCUGAAACCUCUGGAGUGCACUGCACGUGGCGGGGGCAGAGGACACCGCACCCCCUGAGACAGACAGCAUGGGUAGCAAGGGCACCCCUUACACUCAGUCGCGUCUUCUCCUCUCUCCCAUGUGAAAAAACCGUUCCUUGAACAAGAGAAAUUAGAGGAGCAGCUGAAUGUGUUGAAAAUGCAACAGAAGGAACACGUCUCUCAUACCCUGGGACCCCACUGAUAAAGUCCUAAAUUGCACCAGGGGAACAUUCCGCUCCAAGGUCUAAAGGGACGUGGGUUUGUUCUUCUCACCAAGACCCAAGAUCAGAAAGUCUGAAAUACACGGUAUGAUGGCCAAGCAACUGCCAGACUCUAAGGAAUAAUAAGAACAAUAGUUAAUUAAUCAGUAACUCAGUGAAUAACUACUUCAAUACAAUUCAAAUAAUCCGACAGAUUGAGUUGAGGUCAGGCAACCACAUCCAGCCUGAGGCACCCAAAGGUGCAUGUUGUUUGCUGACCCUUUCCUCCUCGCCCAGUGCUGCCCUCGGGGAAGGUGAUGUAGACACUGUCCCCAAGCCCAAGGGGGCAGGAAGCCUCCUCUGAGGGGCACUGCUGCCAGCGCAUGGCCCACACGCCCCUCCACGGCUUGCUGACCUCAGCUCUGCUCUUAAAGCUUUUGUAAAACCAAAUGCCGUCUCACUGGAUCAUGCUUUUAUUUAUAGGAGACACUGAUAUCACGGCAAAGCUAUUUUACGGUGAUAGAAGCUGGGACUAUAUAAAGAAAACAGUUUUAUAAAGAAAUAACA